GGCAGUUAAUGCAGAGCAAGUAUAUCUUAGUUCUAAUUGAUGACGAUGAAGAUGUCCAAGAAAUGCUGACAUUUUCUUUGAAAUAUUCAGAAUGUCGAUUUUUAAAAUUAUAUAUUGAAAAAGAAGAUGUAUCGAGUUUUGGGUACUAUAGUCGGUUUUUAACACAAUACGGCAAUACUCCUGGGCCUUCCUCUCCUUUAGUAACUUCAAUGAUGGAAACUGAUAGUGUUGAGAUCAUGUUUGCAGAAUAACAUUCUACUACUGCUAGUCCUAGUUAUCCAAUUAUUUAAAGUCCUAUGGUGACUUCUCCUGUGAUGUCUUCUGCUAUGGUGACUUCUCUUAUGGUGGAAGUAAUAGUAAGUGCGGGAUACGAGACUCAUAUAAGGGACAAUGAUUGGGUAAGUGGUGAAAUAAAUUCUGAUAAUUUAGGUUUUGAGUCAGAUGAAAGUGAGGAUGAAGACUAUUGGAUG
RNAcentral lists this long non-coding RNA (470 nucleotides) under Elaeis guineensis (African oil palm). RNAcentral describes it as "long non-coding RNA (EGUI_LNC081455)". Lineage: Eukaryota; Viridiplantae; Streptophyta; Magnoliopsida; Arecales; Arecaceae. The record is from RNAcentral.